Molecule: ribosomal RNA, 484 nt
Filed under: uncultured bacterium
Lineage: Bacteria
Description: partial 16S ribosomal RNA
Rfam family: Bacterial small subunit ribosomal RNA
Source: RNAcentral
AUUGAACGCUGGCGGCAUGCUUUACACAUGCAAGUCGAACGGCAGCGCGGGCUUCGGCCUGGCGGCGAGUGGCGAACGGGUGAGUAAUGCAUCGGAACGUGCCCAGUAGUGGGGGAUAGCCCGGCGAAAGCCGGAUUAAUACCGCAUACGACCUGAGGGUGAAAGCGGGGGACCGAAAGGCCUCGCGCUAUUGGAGCGGCCGAUGUCGGAUUAGCUAGUUGGUGGGGUAAAGGCUUACCAAGGCGACGAUCCGUAGCUGGUCUGAGAGGACGACCAGCCACACUGGGACUGAGACACGGCCCAGACUCCUACGGGAGGCAGCAGUGGGGAAUUUUGGACAAUGGGGGCAACCCUGAUCCAGCCAUGCCGCGUGCGGGAAGAAGGCCUUCGGGUUGUAAACCGCUUUUGUUCGGGAAGAAAUCCUCUGGGCUAAUACCCCGGGGGGAUGACGGUACCGGAAGAAUAGGCACCGGCUAACUACGUG